UCUCAAUGUAAGUCAAUGGGACUUUGGCCUUUUUGCAACCCAGUGGUACUUCCUAUAUGGAACACGAAAGUAGGGGGGCUUGCUCUGUCCAGUUCUUCUUAUAUACAGUCAAUGCUGAGAGCAGCUCAAAGAGGCUUAGUGUGCUCUGCUGCCAACUAGUGGUCGGAGGUGGAAAUGGAAAACAGAAGCAAUAGUGAAGGAUGCUCAUAAAUAAUUAAAUAAACAUCGUCAUGGCAACAUUUUAGAUCGAUGCAAGUAUCGCCAAAUGAAAUAUCGAGCUAUAUCACCGAAUCUAUUUUUUCCUACACCUCUAUUGUGCACCCACCCAACUAGCUGUAUCACACCCCUUUUACUAUGAAUAUCUGUGUGUAGUUUCAGUUGGUAGAUGAAACUAUCACAUCAAUGAAAGAUGUGAGUUCAAGUACCAUUGGUGCAGAAGUCAACAACAUAACCAUUUACAGUGAAUUUGGUGGAAUUCCACAUUUGUUAGACUCACAGUAACUCUUAACUCUUUUGUGUAACAUGCUAGAAGCAUUAGUGUUUUCACAAUACCUUUGACUCCCAACCUUAUUUGCAACACAUAGAGAGAGAGAGAGAGAGAGAGAGAGAGAGAGAGAGAGAGAGAGAGAGAGAGAGAGAAAGGCUGAUAUUGUUAAACCCAACGUUACUGGGAGGUAUCUGCUUUUUCUGCCCCUAUGUUUUUGCCUUUGGCUUGCAGAUUUUGGAUUUGUUUUCCUUCUCUCUUAGAUUGCUUUGAAUGAAUGAGCCUCUGCCUCCCCAGACUGGAUUCCUUCUCCUCUCAUGAUGUCUCCAGUACGCUUCUUCUCCAGUAGAAUCUCUGUAUUUUGUUACAAAGUAAAAAAACGUAAAAAACAUAACUUUGCAAAAUAUAUUGGACUCUAUGUUAAAACUGCUUUAGUGUGUAACGUAUUCAGAAGAAGCUUUAGAAUUGCCAAUUUUUUUGCAUUUCUUCAAUUAACAAACAGUAUUUUUUUUAAAUAUUUUAAUUAGGGAUGUUAAGAUUAUUUAGUAUGUAUCAAAAAAUCAAUAUAGUUCUUAAAAAAUGGAAGUAUCAGUUGAAAAUUUCAAAUACGCUUGAGAUUCUGUUGGUAAAACUUUAUAAAACUGAUCUGGAAAGUAAACAACUGAUUUCUUUGAACUUCGUUUUUGUUCCUGUUUUGUUCUUUGUCGCUUCCUUGCUAUGUUACAAAAGCAAGAAGUUAUCCAAUCGCAAGCUUGCUUCCACCAGGUCAACUCAGUUACAACUGGCUGAAGUUAAACUACAGUGAGAGGUCGGGAUUAUGAGUGGAGAAAAAAAUCGAAGACAAAACGAUACACAGUCCGCCAGCUAACCUGCAUUCAAAAUUCUGGAAGUAAUGAAAAAAAAAAAUUAAAUAAAAUCAACUUUAUUUGUAAAAAGCACUUCUCAUACAUAAGUAACUCAAAGCACUUUAGAAUUAUAAAACAGAAACACAAAAGUUAAAAUAAGGACCCAACUCACCCCCCCCCGCCUCCAAUAGCACAUACAUCCCAUGACUCCACACACAAUGUAUACUUUUAAAAAUAACUUAUAAAAGAAAGUUUAGGCUUGGCUCUACUGUGAGGAAACAGUAUUUGGGAAUCUCUUUAUACCAGGGGCCAGCCUCGACAUGGAACAUAACCACAGCUCCCACCUUGAACAGACAGCAACGGGGUCCAUUCCACAACUGUGAGGCCGCAAUGCUGGACCCCAGCUGUAUCAGAUGGGCGAGCGCCACGGCAACGACCACUGUCAAGCUUACAAGCCCUGGAAUAAAGGAUCCCCACUGGAAACACUGGGGCUAAAAUCAUAAGAUUUUAAAAUGGGUGUAAUGUGUACCCACCCCCUGGUCCUCAUCAGAACUUGUCCUGCUGAGUUCUGCAAUAAUUGUAAUUUUGAAAGAGAUUUUUGAGGUAAACCAGAGAUCAGGGCUUUAUAAUAAUCUAAAUGACUAAAAAUAAAAGCAUGCAUCAGCACCUCUGUGGUGGCAAGAGAGAAGAAUGGGCGGACUCUGGCAAUAUUUUUAAGAUGAUAAAAUCCAGUCUUAACAACAUUUAUAAUGUGAGGGAUAAAAUUCAGCUAAGAUCGCCCAGGUUUCUCACACAAUGAGAAGAGUUAAAAUGUUGAAAAUGUGGUAAAACCAGCUCUCUCGUCUUCAGGACUGAUGAUUAAAACGUCUGUUUUGUCAUGGUCGAGCUUUAAGAAGUUCUCUGCCAUCCAUGACUUUAUUUCUAAAAUACAAUUUACAAGAGUGUUUUUAGGUUCAAGGUCAUCAGGAGACACGGCGAUGUAAAGCUGUGUAUCAUCAGCAUAUCUGGGAAAGUCAACGCUGUGUCUUCUGAUGACAUCCCCAAGAGGCAACAUGUACAAAUUAAAAAGAAUGGGACCUAACAUUGACCCUUGGGGAACCCCACAACUUAUUUCACAGAUUCUUGAGGAGCUUGUGUCCAUACUUACAUAAAAGUGUUGUUCUGUAAGAUAGAAAUAAAACCACUUAAGAACAUUUCCAGAGAGGCCUACUAGACUCUUAAGUCUAUCUGGUGAUCUACUGUAUCAAAAGCAGCAGAAAGAUCCAGCAGCACCAGAAUAUGAAGUAUCUGGGAGUCUAAAUUAAUUCUAAAAUCAUUAAUGAUCUUUAAAAGAGCCAUCUCUGUACUGUGGUUCAUUCUAAAACCAGAUUGAAAUUCACCUAAAAUGGUUUGGGUAUUUAAAAACUCAUUGUCAUGGUGCACCUGUGCUCCUACUCCGCCUCCUAAUUGGACCCAGCUGUCGGCACUCAUCACCUCCACACCAGCCUACUUAAGAGGAGCCUUCCCCAGCAUUCUUCGCCAGUUCGUUACCUUACCCGGUCCUCAUCAUCCAUGUGCCGUCCUGGGUCCAGCUAAGCCUCUACUACUCUGCUACGCCAAACCCACUCCACGCCACGCACCAUCUGCUGAACUCACCUUGCCGCUCCAGCCCUGCACCGGUCUUCGCUCUCCAUCUCAAGUCUGCAGAUCCACUCCUAGUUCCGGCCGCUACUCCACUCCCCCAUGGACAAUAAAACCUUUCUAUAUCACUUCUGCCUCCCGUCAUCCUUCCGGGUUCCAGCGUCUGGGUCUGUCUCGUCACGUGAUCAUGACAGAACGAACUGGCCAUACUCCAGACCCAGCUGACCCGGAAGGUCUACGCCACGUUGUCAUUCAACAAGGCACCCUCCUGGAUCAUCAGUCCAGCGCUCUACAGCAACUCGCCCCAGCACAGCAGGACGUAUUUCUCCGGAUCGACAAUGUAUUGCAAGCUGUUAUGGAUCUAACGAGUCAGUUACCUAAAUUAGCGCUGUCUCCGACCCCGCCACUUCCGCAAACAGAAGCCGCAGCUACUGCCGCUUCCGCUACGUCACACGAAAACAUCCGCCUACAGCCGGAGGUCUUCCACGGGGAGGUUUCUGCUACAAUGCCAACUUAUUUUUCAGCAGGCACCAGGACACUACCGAACGGAUCACAGUAAGAUUACUCUAAUCGUUAACUCGCUCAGGGGCAGAGCCUUGCAGUGGGCCCAAGCCUAUCUGUUCGCCCACCCCAUUUCCGGUUUGCCCUUUGACCGCUUUUUAACAGAAUUUAGAAUAGUUUUUGACCAGCCUCGUAAGGAGGAUGAAGCAACGCGUCACCUACUGAGCCUCAACAAGGUAAACGCACCGUUGCAGACCACGUCAUAGACUUUCGUAUCCUGGCUGUUGAGGCAGGCUGGCCGGAUAAAGCGCUAAAAGGAAUUUUCUACCAAUCCCUAAAUGAAUCCAUCAAGGAUCAUUUAUGCUCACAACCUGAAGCCCGCUCAUUUAAAAAACUGGUGUCCGCUGCAUUACGCUCCGACGUUCGUUUAAGAGAAAGACGAGCAGAGAGACAUUCCCCCUCACGCAGAACUGUGCCUGAUCCCAGUUACCCUCUAACGUCACCUCUCUCCCACUCUCCAGUAAAGGAGCCCACACGGAGACCCGGCGAGGAACCCAUGCAGAUUGGGCACUCCAAACUCACUCCAGAGGAACGCCAGAAAAGGAGGGAUGAGCGAUCCUGCUUCUAUUGCGGCAAGUCUGAUCAUUAUGUUGCUCAAUGACCCCUUUCUUUAAAAGGCAGGACCCCCCGCUAGAAGACAGGUCGCGGGAGGGUUCCCAGGAAGUCUCCCCCUGCGGGAACUUCCUUAUUCUACCUGUCAAGAUUUGCCUACAGGCCAGAUGUCAUGAAACCCAAGUACUGGUGGAUUCAGGAGCGGAGCAAAGCUUCAUCGACCAAAACCUUGUGUCGCAGCUACACAUACCCACCGAACCGUUGAACUCGCCUGUCAAGGCCGCCAGUCUAGGGCAGGGGUCCACAACUGGCGGUCCGGGUCCGGACACCGAGACCCUUUUAUCCGGACCGCCAAGCAUUUUUAAUAAAAAAUAAGGUUUUUCAUUCAUCUUUACAUGGCGAUUUUUGAACAGGCACGCGCGAGGAUAGCUCCGUUCAGACCGGGGUCCUUCAACCGGCAAAAGUUCAGAGCGGUGAGCUACCGUAGUUGGGACGUAAAGUUAUCUGGAAUGUGCGUGAACAAUGGCUCUGUCUACAAUGAGAAAAGUGGACUGAAAAUGGUGUCUUUGGAGAUGAGUGGACCGAAGCUUUCACUUUUAUUUACCAGCAGUGAGUUCUACAGGCCGGUUUGUAUUAUAAACAUGGAGUCCGCUGGUUUUGUUAAGAACGCUGAUAUCGCAGCGCUAUGAGACAAAACACAAAACUUCUGACACAAAUUACCCGACAGAAUGAGUGACGUGGUCACGGAAAAUAUAUGAACUGAAAGUACAGUGUGAGCGUACAGACACUAACAGCACAACAACGAGCUCACGAGUGCUCACUACGAGUGGAAUGGAUUUGGACAAACACUAAAGUCACUGUGAAAUGAUUAAAGAGUGUAUGGAGGCAAAUACAGAAACAAUAUUAGAAGGAAAAGAGCUUUGCAGCUUCAAGCAAAGGUCCGACAGAUUCCCCUGUCGUCAAGAAGACGCUUUCCAGAGAUGUGCCGGGCUAGGAAGCUACACUGCUGCCAAUAUUAUUUGAAACCCAAAUAAGACAAAUGAAAAAAAAAAGUUUGUUUGGCAAAAAAAAAAAUUGAAUGUCAGAAAAUUCUUCCCAUUCUAAAAUUAACCUAUUUUCAGCUCAAAAAGUUUAUUUUUUUAGGGUUUCAAAACUGAAAAUUUAAAUUCAAUUUUUUUUAUUCGACUCUAUUUAUUUAUUUAUGUUCGUUUUCGAAUACAAAAAUUUCUGCUUCAAAACUUUUUGCCCCUUUGUGGUGGGUCUAACACAAAGGACCAAACCAAAUGGAUGAGUGUGGUAACUUCAGUCCUGGUGCAUUCACUGACUCUGCUAGAACAGAGUUUUGGACACGGUUUGUACGGGAUAAAACUCUGAUCUUUACAUCCGUCUUGGGACAACUUUAGAAUAUGAUAGAACAGACAAUACAGACAUUUUCUGAUCGUAAUUAUCACGGCUCUAGGAGUUAGUGAAGACACUGGGACUGAAGUUAUUCCUCUCAUUUAGUUUUGAUUGGCCCUUUGUGUUAGCCACAACAAGGCCAAAAGUUUUGAAACUAAAAUUUUUAUAUUAAAAAAAAA
This is a long non-coding RNA of Oryzias melastigma (Indian medaka), 5639 nucleotides long. RefSeq lists it as uncharacterized. NCBI's taxonomy places the organism in Eukaryota, Metazoa, Chordata, Actinopteri, Beloniformes, Adrianichthyidae. The transcript has 2 exons. The record is from RefSeq and is a predicted model, not a curated record.